Long non-coding RNA from Rhipicephalus microplus (southern cattle tick), 973 nucleotides. The record is from RefSeq and is a predicted model, not a curated record. NCBI's taxonomy places the organism in Eukaryota, Metazoa, Arthropoda, Arachnida, Ixodida, Ixodidae.
CGCAGACUAUGUGUGACACUGAGACCGAGAAAGCAAUGGACGACCUGCAUGAGGCUACCAUGGUAGAGCCCUUGACCAUGACUGAGACUGAGGAGGAAGUGUCCGCUGUCGUACUUAAGAAUACCACAGUUACAAGAAAAAAACAGUGGACACAGUGGGAAACUAUGAUGGCAGAAGACUAUAACUAUGCAAGGACUGUUCCAGCCUCUAAGAAGUGCAAAAUUUUCGCACCAACCCUCACAGAAGCUCACUUCCUUUUUUACACCGGCGUAUGAGCAGAUAUAGGUAUUUAAGGAAUUGGCAAAGGCCAUCACAGUUGAAAGAACCAAGAGAUUCAACAUUCGUGUUGAGGAUCAAAGGUUGAUGACCCUAACGAGACUGUGCUUAGGGCUCCUCUAUGGGCAUUUGUCCAGAAUUUUUGAAAAACCAGUUGCCUCUGUGCACAGCAUUGUGAAGCAUACGUUGUUUGCGCUAUGCAACGUAAUAAAAUAAGUGGUCCUCUCGUUACCAAGAGAGACCAUAAAAAACAGCAUGUCACCUUCUUUCAUUACAAGCGAUUAUGAAGGGACGACAUGCAUCAUUGACUGCACAGAGGUUUUUCUGCAUAGACCAAUGAAGCUGAUGCCUCGAGCACAGACAUAUAGCAAAUAUAAGGCGCACAACACUGUUAAAUUCUUGGUGGCCAUUGCGCCAAAUGGCUGCAUCAUGUAUGUGUCCAAUGUGGUCGGAGGACGAGCGUCUGGCAAAUUUAUAACUGCCGACUGUGGUAUUGAAAACCUCCUGGGUCAUGGUGAUGAGAUUAUGGCAGACAGAGGAUUCAGCCAAAGCCGAAACCUUGAGCUGCAAGGAGUCAACCUGAAUAUGCCGACCUUUACAAAAGAGAGGCCUCAGCUCUCCGAAGGAGACGUCACCAGAUCAAGGAGGAUCGUUUCAUUGCGUAUACACGUAGAACGAGCAAUUAAUAGAAUCAAGA